Molecule: unclassified non-coding RNA, 2066 nt
Filed under: Hevea brasiliensis (rubber tree)
Lineage: Eukaryota; Viridiplantae; Streptophyta; Magnoliopsida; Malpighiales; Euphorbiaceae
Source: RNAcentral
AGGCCUCGCCUCGCCUCGCCUCUCACCUCUCGCCUAAGGCCAUAGAGUAUUCUAUCGCCUUAAUGUUGCAUUUCGCCUUGGUAACACUGCUUUCUACAAAAAUAAACACAUUAAACACUCAAACAUGUUAACAUAUUACAUGUUUAUUUUGUUAAACAAGCAAAAUACAUACCUAAACUAGUUGAGAGUACAAUAAUUCUUCACAAAUCACCUCUUCAAACUUCUACUGUGCUCUUUCAACCAAAGACAAACUAAGCUUUUGUCCUUGUUGGUCCACCACUGCAAUUCCUCUUCUCCUUACUGGUCCACCAAGCAUAAAGGCUGCUCCACCGAGUUGAAAGGCUGAUCCACCAAGAUCAGAGAAGAGAGGGAUGAGAGAUUGAAAGAGAUUUACAAAAAAAUUUUCCGCUGUAAAUGAGAGCAUUGAGGGUUUGUUUGGCGGAUAAAUGAAUAUGGCUAGGGGAGUAAAUUUGAAUUUAACUCUAGACGCUAGUAUUAUUGGCGUCCCGUUUCUUGCACGCCAGUUAAAAUGGCAUCCCAUGCCUAUGCAUAUCUCCAUGGUGAUGUGACUGAAUAUUCUCUGUCAGCGCUAGAAGCUUGCACGCUAUAUUGGUGUUCCCAGUAGCCUGCAUGCCAUUUAUUUUGGCGUCCCUUGUCCAUGACAUGACGAAAUGCAAAGAUUCUCGACAAAAGCAUGUCGCACGCUAUUAUGGGUAGCGUCCUAGGUCUGGACACUAGUUAUAUUCACAUCUUCACAUGGGCUACUAGUAUGACUAGCGUCCCCAUGCAGCAACCUUUCCACCUCAGCUCCCUUCACACCCUUUGGUAAUUUAACUAAAACAAACCCUUUUCUCAUAUUUUUUUCUUCUACAGUACCUUUGUAUGGUAAAAAACUCCAAAUAUUAAAGAAAAAUUGCACAACAAUGAGCUUUCUAUAUUCAUAAAUCAAAUAAAAUUAAACUUGGAGCAAUACAUCCAACUCUCUCAAAAAAUCAUAAUAAUUUCUCAAAAUAAAGAAUAAUCAAAAUGCCAUAACAUACAAACUAGUGAUGCUUAAAGGAAACUGCAAGUUAAUAAUGGAUUGAAAUCAGGGGUAUUUCUAAAUAUUCAGUUUUAUUAAAUUCAACAUAGGUAUUUCUAAAUGCUUAAAGGAAAGGGCAAGUUAUAGAUUAGGAACUAGUUAGGCCAAGUACAUAGAUUUUUUUUUCUCCAUUUUGUUUUAUUUAGGGCCAAACUACAAUGAGCUAGUGAUAAUUAGUAGAACUCAUUGGAAGAGAACACAUGCCCGUAAGCCCAUAAAGACAAGUUUAGGAAGAGGCCAGGGGAGAUUAAGCAAUACAUGCAUAAAUUCACCAAGUCCUUAACUAUGCUUAAGAAUACUAUAUGAAAAUAUGAAUAUGUACACGCCCAUGCACAAAAGGAAAGAAUAGAAAGGAGGCAAAAGUUCUUCUCCAGAAUAGCCAUGAAAGAUUAUAAUCCUUUGUUGAAAAGUUUUCAGAAAUAACAGGAACUGACCAGUAUGAUCAAUGCUGCACACCCCUCCCUUAUAGUUUCUUCAGGUGCCCUACUCUUUUGCCUGUUGCCUUUUUGGUUUCUCAAUUUGUUUAAAUGUUGUCGUGCUAUCCUGAAAUGAAAAUGAGAAUGGGGGAUGCCUAGCUAAGGUGAACACGCGAAAUGCCUGAGGGCAGUCAACAACAGCAAUGGUGAAGCGAUGACGACUAUGGCAGGCCUGAACCUCCUUGAGGCCAAUUGUUAUUUCGAGUAUACGAGAAACAAGGGGGAUGCGCGAGUGGAACAGGGAAGAGCGAAACGGGCAUGGCACUGCUCUGUGAAUGACGUCAGUGGCCUGGUGUUGUCGAAAGAGAUGAACCGAACCAGAAAUAGGAAGGGAGUAUUGUGAUAGGAAGGAGGAAUGGUGGUGAAGAUGGGUUUCGUGGUCUGCAAGUCGCGAUGACAGCUGAGACAACAACGACGACGGCGUAGGGCUAGUUGAACAGCAAACGGCCCGCGACGAUGGUAGAGAAUAUUGAGAGGGAAAGAGCGGAAAUUUGGGGGGAAGUUUUCGC